RNAcentral lists this ribosomal RNA (508 nucleotides) under uncultured Glomus. Its description in RNAcentral is "SSU rRNA". It matches the Rfam family "Eukaryotic small subunit ribosomal RNA", at positions 569 to 1083 of the family's 1831-position model. The record is from RNAcentral. Lineage: Eukaryota; Fungi; Glomeromycota; Glomeromycetes; Glomerales; Glomeraceae.
AGCAACCGCGGUAAUUCCAGCUCCAAUAGCGUAUAUUAAAGUUGUUGCAGUUAAAAAGCUCGUAGUUGAAUUUCGGGGUUAGUAGAUUGGUCGUGCCACUGGUAUGUACUGGUCUUACUGAUUCCUCCUUCCUGAUGAACCGUAAUGCCAUUAAUUUGGUGUUGCGGGGAGACUGGACUGUUACUUUGAAAAAUUAGAGUGUUUAAAGCAGGCUAACGCUUGAAUACAUUAGCAUGGAAUAAUGAAAUAGGACGUUCGAUCCUAUUUUGUUGGUUUCUAGGAUUGACGUAAUGAUUAAUAGGGAUAGUUGGGGGCAUUAGUAUUCAAUUGUCAGAGGUGAAAUUCUUGGAUUUAUUGAAGACUAACUACUGCGAAAGCAUUUGCCAAGGAUGUUUUCAUUAAUCAAGAACGAAAGUUAGGGAUCGAAGACGAUCAGAUACCGUCGUAGUCUUAACCAUAAACUAUGCCGACUAGGGAUCGGAUGAUGUUAUUUUAAUGACUCAUUCGG